AGGAAAAAAAAAAAAAAAAAGAAUAGCCAAAAAACUGUAGACUGUAGAUUUGGAGCCUGACUCUGAGGAUGCUGGUUCAAAACCCGCAGCGGUGUCAACCAUUUUUCAGACAGAUAAGACAGAUAUACAUGUCUUAAUAGGAAUUACACUUCCUGAAUAUAGCACAGAUUCUAGUGCAUAAAAAUUGAAAAAUGAGUGGUCUAGACAGUCGACAUGUAUUGCUAGCGAUUUGGCGAUCCUGACUCUGAGGAUGCUGGUUCAAAACCCGCAGUGGUGUCAACCAUUUUUCAGCACAUUUCAGCAAGAAGUGUAAUCCAUAUGAACGAUAAUACUGUUAUGAAGAAAACAUGUCUGACCUUCAUGUAUUUUUACACGGCUUACAAAGUGAAGCCAGUGUUUUUGUCAGCAUUAUUGCUGACUACAAAGGACAGAUAUGAAGCCCUCAAUGGGGUCCUCUUUGUUUUGAUCAGUCCUGUAAUACAACAUGACAUAUUGUAUCCGAGAUCAGUCCAAACUGUAGUACAGGAAAGAGAUCCAAGCUUUGUUAGGGGAAAUUGCUGCAAGCUCUCAUAGAGGAAAUCUGCCUGUUACCCUAAUUUUUAUGUCUAUGUUUAUUUUCAUUUACCAAGUUCUCAUUAAAAGGAAAAGAUCUCUAAAUUUCCAUCACAUGAAGAUCUUUGAGUCUUUUUUAUACAAAGUUGUGAUUAAAUUGUUGUUUAGACAAUAUACAGCUCUGCACUUUUUUUUUUCUUUUUUUAGUCCAAAAAAAAAGCGGUUUUAAGGUUAUUAUAGAGUUAACUCAUUUCAUUGCUACGUUGAUGGAAACAAGUUUACAUUAGGUUUAAAAAGCUGAAAACAGAUAAAUAGUUAAGAUACAAGUUUAAAAACUGCAUUGGAAGUGUAAUUCAAUUUGCUGUGUAUACAGGAACAACUUUUUAGAGUAAACUCUGAGAGCUUGGACAGUUGACUGCAGACACAAAGAGGACAGAAGUAUGUGGGAGCUUCAUAUGCUGUAUUUUUUCACAGCAAACUUUUUCUGGCAGUUUGCCUAUGACAAAGCUUCCAUGUUUUCACACAGAUAUGGCUUCACUUCACCGAACUCUUCUAUAAAGCUGUGUGGAAACCAAGAGACUUGAUUGGCAAACAGCAGAAAAUGUUUGACCAAUGGAUUUGCUGGUUUGUGCUUUGUCCUUUGACCUUCACUGCCGUGGGAGUGGAAUAAAUGUUGUGUGGACUUAAUCACGUGGCCUUAAUAGUUCUCAGCUUGUGGAUGCAUGGUUAUAGGUUUCCCCCAGUUUUCCUCCCACUAUAAUGCUGCCCGGUUUCCUCCCACCAUAAUGCUGCCUGGUUUCCUUCCACCAUAAUGAUGGCCGCCAUCAUACAAGUGAAAUAUUCUUGAGUACUAUGUAAUUAAAACAUCAAUCAAAUAAAUUAGUAAAUUAAUAGUUCUCUGUUUUUCUGACAAUUUGACUUCUAGCUGUGUAUCCCUCUGUCCAUUUAUAGCAUCCUUGUGAUGUAAACACAACCUUUUUUCCACUGAUUUUCGCACUUUUCGGAAGGCAUGGGCAUGGUGCAGAUCCUUGCAAAUUCCAUUUGUAUAUAGGUGUACAUACACAUGUAGCUAUACCUGGCUCAGUGGCUUUUUUCACCUUUUAAUCUUUUACUAUUUCUUUGGUUUUAUUAAACAUGCUGUGAGAGUUUUAUUUCCACGUUAAAUACAAAUUUACUCGAAUAUCUAGUAGUAGUCUACACUGUGCUCUAGUUUGUGCAGAUUGUUAAAAAAACGUUUUAUUAGCAUUUUAUUCAAUGUAAAAAUAGAAAAUGUAUAAAUUGGAAGCAAAUAGCACCGAAUAGUGUUUUAGAUGAUAUGGACUUCAUUCAUUAGUGGUUUUGUUCUUUUAAAUAUCUGAUAUUAGAAGGUUGUGACAGCAAACAAUGUAUAUUUUCUUAGAUUUUUGAAAGGGCUAUCUGUGAAAGGCAACCCAAAAUUUCAGGGUUCGACAUUAUUUACUAAAAAACUAAGUUACUGAUACUCCGUUGGAGGCUACCAGGAAGUUGCCAUGCAUUGUGUGGCGCAUAUUUCCUAUUUCCUUUGCCUGACUGAAGAACUGACUCUAAGCGCCAGGCCCCGGGUUCACAAAGCAAUCUUUAGACAUAAGUCAAGAGUUUAAUCUUUAAAAUUUGUCUCUUCCUUUCCAUUAUUUUAGCUGGAGUUUGUUUUACGGUACUUACCCAGAAUUUAAGUUUUAAAGUGAGUUGAAAUUUUGACCUAAGCCUAAGAUUGCUGCGUGAUCCCGGGGCCAGUUCAGAAUAGCAGCAACAUCCCCUCAAUACAAAGUUGAUGUCAUCAUACACUGAGGACUCUCAUUGUGUGAACCAUGCAGGCACAGGCUGAAAGAUUGUAUGCCAAAAUUUGACUGAGCAGCCCAUUUUGAAAGGUAGGAUGUCAAAAAUUUGACCCAUUGACCCAUUUUAAAGUGUAAGAUGUAAAAAAACAAUUGACCCAUUGACCUAUUAUAAAGGGUAGAUUGUCAAACAUUUGACCAAUAAAAGAUAGUAUGUCAAAAAGUUGACCGAUCAACUGAAAGACUGGUAGUCUGUGCUGCUAGCUACUGUGAAUUUGUGUUUUUAACUGUUU
Molecule: long non-coding RNA, 2638 nt
Organism: Liolophura sinensis
Lineage: Eukaryota; Metazoa; Mollusca; Polyplacophora; Chitonida; Chitonidae
Exons: 2
Source: RefSeq, a predicted model, not a curated record